UCUCUCCGCAAUUAUAAAAAAAGAAAUUCUGAUCUCUCUCUCUCUCCGGCGAAACACUCUUUCUCUCCACCAUCACGUCGGCGACUGGAAUUAAAUUUCCGACGCCGUUAGCGACUGGAUCUCCAACACACAAACUAGAUCUCCGAUGCACGACGCCGACUGGAACAAGAUCUCUAAUUCUCUGCUCUUCAUCUCAACUCCAUCGGCCACGUCUCCGGCUCAGGCUCCCUCAACAAUUCCCUUAGAUUCCUCCAUCUCAGGUGUGUUUUGAUUGUACUCCUUCUACGUUCAUAGUCGUCAUCCUCCACAGCUUGAGCUUUGCAAUCGAAAUCUGACUGCUAGUGUUAGCGGUAAAGCCUUCAAGCCUAUUACUUGAAGUCGAUGCAGAAUGAGCUCGUUCUCCAUCACGCGGAAGAGGACUCCCUUCCAAAAGCACAGAGAGGGAGAAAAAGGUAUUGUACUAGUGAAUUUGUUAAUUUUUUAAAAUUUUUCCAUAAUUCGAUCUCCUUUUGAUCGAGCAGUUUGAGUUUACCAAGAUUUGUAAUUACCUAGUGAAUUUGUGAAUUUCAAAUGGGCAAUAAAAUUCUACAAAUGCUUUUCUGAGGUGAAAUAGCAUGCUGCCAAGUUUUCUCUAUAAUUAAACAGCCAAUAUAGUGGUUGUGUGUGUAGCAGAGUCUCUAUGCAGGACAUAGUGGCUAUGAUUACUGAUCAUGCUUUAAAAAUUGAUGUAGUAUUGGAGAAAGCAAUCUACUCCCGAAGCUUUGCAGGUUGUGAUUUAUCAAAGUUGGACUGUGAUGAUAAUGCUUUAUUUGAUACGGUUUAUUGGUUUCUUUUAUUAAUUAUGCGUCCUCAAAGUAUACAUGACUCUCUGUUCUUUGGCCUGUAAUGAAUUUAAUUUAUUGAUAUUGUGAGCAUGAAUUUGGAGAUGGCUUUGGGUUGGUAAGUCCAUUUUGUUGCUACUUUUUUAUGGCUGCAAGUGUAACUGGCAGGAUUUAAAUUUGUGCUUUGGCUUUAUUAGUUUUGGCAAUCAACUAAAUUCUAUCAUUAGCUUCCUUCCCCUUAUCCAAAUCUUUUUACAUUUAUUUGUUUGAUGUAAUGUUUUUAAUUUUUUGCUGCGAAAGGUAUUUAGACAUGUAGUUUCAUGUGGUGGGACAAGAUAUAGGAAAACAGAAAGAUAUCAAAGCCUAAUACUUAGUUGUAGUUGAAAGAGAUACAUGCAACUUUGCUCUGGCUAAAUGCUCUGUAUUGAACAUUGAGACAGUUUGUGAUAACCAUAUUGUGUAACUUGACAGUGACUCUCAAAUUACUAGGUUUGGAGAUAGUUUUUCUAUUUUUAUUUUUAUUGAUUUCAAGUCAGUAGCUCUCCAUGAUUGUUAUAGUAUCUUUUCAACACAUAAAUAGUACAUUUCUAUGGCUACGGUAGUAUAUUUUAAGUUGAUGCCAAUGGCUUUUUUGUUUUCGUUUUGGUCGAUUUCAAGUUAGCUAUAACUGUUAUAGUAGAUUUUCAACACAGUAAUAGUAGCUUUAUAUCCCUAUGUGAGUAUCUUUUUAAUCUGAUGUCAGUAGCUUUGUAGAUUUUUUAAAGUUGUUUUCUGUGUCUAUGUCAGUAGCUUUUUAUUAUUGGUCCAGUAGCUUUGUACGUGUAUUAUAGUAGCUUUAUGUACCUAUGACAGUGGUUUUUUAGAUUUUUUAUUAUUGGUCCAGUUGAUAAAGUGUACCAGGUUUGCGGUGCAGUGGUACAUUGCUAUUUUUAGUUUUCAUUUCAAAUACAUUUUGUUGCAUUUUUGUUCUUGCAGAAUUCUUCUCCUUUGCAUUUGUAGUAGCAGAUUUCUAAAAUCAUGACAGUGGUUUUUUAGAUUUUUUAUUAUUGGUCCAGUUGAUAAAGUGUACCAGGUUUGCGGUGCAGUGGUACAUUGCUAUUUUUAGUUUUCAUUUCAAAUACAUUUUGUUGCAUUUUUGUUCUUGCAGAAUUCUUCUCCUUUGCAUUUGCAGUAGCAGAUUUCUAAAAUCAUGUGAAUUUGGAUAUUGAAGCCUCCAUUGACCAGAGAUCAUUCAGCCAACCAAGAAAUGUUGAAAUGAAGUAUUGUGUUGAAGAUGGCAAAAUUAUGCCUGUGUUUAGAGCAUCAUCAUUGAAAAGUGACAGUAGGAUUACAACAUUGACAGUAGCUUUAUACAACUAUUGUAAUAGAUUUUCACAACUAUGGUAGUGACUUUUAACAACUAUUGAAGUUGCUUUUUACAUAGUGAUAUCAUUUUUGAAUGUUACAUACUUUUUAUAUCAUUGAAUAUGUUUUCUUUUC
Molecule: long non-coding RNA, 2300 nt
Organism: Rosa rugosa (rugosa rose)
Lineage: Eukaryota; Viridiplantae; Streptophyta; Magnoliopsida; Rosales; Rosaceae
Exons: 2
Source: RefSeq, a predicted model, not a curated record